ACCUGGCUGGCUUCCCGGGUAGAGCAUGUAACUCUUGAUCUCAGGGUCAUGAGUUCAAGUCUCAUGUUGGGCA
This 73-nucleotide transfer RNA is filed under the name Canis lupus familiaris (dog). It matches the Rfam family "tRNA". From Rfam's summary of the family: Transfer RNA (tRNA) molecules are approximately 80 nucleotides in length. The record is from Rfam by way of RNAcentral. Lineage: Eukaryota; Metazoa; Chordata; Mammalia; Carnivora; Canidae. RNAcentral also lists the same sequence under 1 other name.